AAACGACUCUCGGCAACGGAUAUCUCGGCUCACGCAUCGAUGAAGAACGUAGCAAAAUGCGAUACUUGGUGUGAAUUGCAGAAUCCCGUGAACCAUCGAGUUUUUGAACGCAAGUUGCGCCYRAAGCCUCYGGUUGAGGGCACGUCUGCCUGGGCGUCACGCA
RNAcentral lists this ribosomal RNA (163 nucleotides) under Wedelia purpurea. RNAcentral's name for it is "5.8S ribosomal RNA". It matches the Rfam family "5.8S ribosomal RNA". From Rfam's summary of the family: 5.8S ribosomal RNA (5.8S rRNA) is a component of the large subunit of the eukaryotic ribosome. It is transcribed by RNA polymerase I as part of the 45S precursor that also contains 18S and 28S rRNA. The record is from RNAcentral. Lineage: Eukaryota; Viridiplantae; Streptophyta; Magnoliopsida; Asterales; Asteraceae.